CGACCGGCGCACGGGUGAGUAACACGUAUCCAACCUGCCGUCUACUCUUGGACAGCCUUCUGAAAGGAAGAUUAAUACAAGAUGGCAUCAUGAGUCCGCAUGUUCACAUGAUUAAAGGUAUUCCGGUAGACGAUGGGGAUGCGUUCCAUUAGAUAGUAGGCGGGGGUAACGGGCCCACCUAGUCUUCGAUGGAUAGGGGUUCUGAGAGGAAGGUCCCCCACAUUGGAACUGAGACACGGUCCAAACUCCUACGGGAGGCAGCAUG
Molecule: ribosomal RNA, 265 nt
Filed under: uncultured bacterium
Lineage: Bacteria
Description: partial 16S ribosomal RNA
Rfam family: Bacterial small subunit ribosomal RNA
Source: RNAcentral